AUGCAGACAAUCAAAUGUGUGGUUGUAGGAGAUGAGGCUAUAGGUAAAACCUGCCUCCUCAUCAGUUAUACAACAAAUGUCUUUCCUGAGGAGUAUAUCCCCCCACUGUCUUUGACAAUUAUAGCGUCCAGACAUCCGUGGAUGGGCAAAUCGUUAGCCUGAACACGUGGGACACUGCUGGCCAAGAGGAGUAUGAUGACUGCGAACACUCUCCUAACCCCAGACCAGUAUCUUUGUUAUUUGUUUUUCCAUU
This 253-nucleotide long non-coding RNA is filed under the name Homo sapiens (human). RNAcentral describes it as "non-protein coding lnc-ZMYM3-3:1". Lineage: Eukaryota; Metazoa; Chordata; Mammalia; Primates; Hominidae. The record is from RNAcentral.